AGGCGUUAGAAAAGACAAGGAAGGGUGUGAAUAAAUCCGACCAAUCUGCACGGCACUAAUCGCCCUGGGAUGUUUGGACGAGAUUGUGGCCGGCCCUAUAUGAUGCUAAACCGACCUAUCCGCUUCAAUGAACCGACGAACUAAGCGCAUGAGACGAUCCGUUCUUCUAAUGCAGUAACUAGCGUCCAAUGCUACCAUGGAGGUAUCAUCUAUCCGACAAACACUCCACUCCCCUCGAACAACUAACGGUUGAUUUCCCGACUCGCGUGCGUGUGUUGGCGGUUGCGUCACGGCUAGACUUGUUUUCUCUAUCGCCUGGAGAAGUCGUGCGGAAUCGAUCGAUACGGGUUUGACUAACACGACACUAGCACACACACAGCCAGACGACGAAGCUACUACAGCCACAGUGAAGAAGCAUUUGAGUGUGCGCGCCCGCUUUUCUAAUCACCUUCUAAGCAACCGUGUGCCAUCCCACUUGGUGCAUGAGCGCCUGGCAAUAGAUUUAGCAAGAAGGUGAAUAUGAAAGAUAGAAACGAAUAGAAAACCACCCCUACUCGCGCUGUACUUGCACGGCCUCCCCUUAAUGUACGCGUUUGAUCCGUCCCCGGCCACUUCUUAUACGGGAGGGUGUAUAAAACCGAGGGGGUCGAACGAUGGGCAUCUUCCCUUUCCCCGUUCGAUCGAUGCGGCCGCGCGUGUGUGUUUAUGUGUGGUUGUGAUUGGGGUAGUGGCUAGCAUGCGUAGCGAAGAUUGAGAACCGAACGAAGAUUGCCUUAGAUCCCACGUUGCGAUGGUGAUGCGCUGUACAACGCCGACAGCGACGUCCAACAUAACAGCAACAAUGGCGAUGAUGCGUGAGAACCAGCAUCUCGGUCCAGUGAAUGAGAUAAAACUUUUCCCAGGUUCUUAUGCGUACAGGAGGCUGCCGCCGGCUUCAACGGAUCGGGGGUGAACGAACGGAUGUGGCCUGAUCUCACCCGGAUGGGAAAUGACAUGGGAAGGGGGAACGAGAAAAUGGAGAAACCCCGACAUUCCCGCAGCUUACUAGUUACGGUUCGCUGGGUACUGGAACGUAACAUAUAGAGAGUGGGAAAACUCAAAUAGAGAAAUCAUGUUUUCUGUAACACAAAAAAGGCUUUUAGAAAAUAGAAUAAAUUGAAGAUUAGUUCGAUUCCAUGUGCUCGAAUGGAAGUGUGCGAGUGGAAGAUGCACUGCCGAACAGGUCGAGAUUCCACCCCAUUCGAUGGCCAGUAAUUGCACGAACGUGAAGAAAGAGCGCUGCCGAUGAAUGUCUCUGUCAUGUCAGCAUAGUCGCCGAGCAGUUGGCCCAUGGAAGGGGCAUUGGCAUCGGUAAGAAAGAGGUAGGAUCCGUACCAUCUGUAGAGCGGAACCAACUGAAAGCGUUUGGGUUAAACAAAACGUUGCUUAAGAAAUUGGAACUACAUGAUAAAAUUUUGACCAUGGGAAAAUUGUCCCUUAAAAAUCUGAAACAACUUAUGUGUUAAAAAGUAAGCAACAAAAAAUAUAAAUAUAUUAAUAUUUUUUCAACCGAUCAGGUUUACAACCUUUAGCGACAACCCAAAUGCACCAGCUCACCGGUUCGAGUUCGAGAACAUCGAACUACAUCCAGACAACUGCGUGGUUCACCUCCGCCGGACGAUGCGGCCUUGGUCGCAACGGCGCUUACUAUUUAACAAUUACACAAACCCGCGCGUGCUCUACUCGCCGCAGCGGUUGGGGAAAAACGGCACUAAGAACGGCCGACCCUCCUACUACGACUGAGCCGCUGUUUUUCUUCCAUCGCGCAUCUUUCGCCGAAAAAGGGGAAGAUGUGUGUGACCAUUCCGCCUUCUGUUCGGUUCUUUCUAAUCUACCACACACCUACAGAGGAUAGGGGAACACAACAGUUAUACAACCUUUUUGCCCCACGCUCUCCCCCUCACACGAAUGGCAUCCAAAGAUGGCCAUCAGCGGGUACUCUCCUCGCAUUGGACACAAAUAUGAGCGCUGGGUAGCGACGGAUGGAUUAAAAAAUGAAACCUCUUUUUCGCCGGCCCAUGGAGGGUUUCUGUGUUUGUGUGUGUGCUUCUACAGUGGAGUACUGAAGAUAGAUGCAGCGUGCAGCGUAGUUCGAUUCCGCUGCCAAUCGAGUCAUAUCUGGGGGGAGGCAAGCAGUUCAAAACAGAUUUCACCUCGCGUGAGUGGGAUGUGAAUGUCAAUCGACGGUGAAAGAGCAGAGACCAACAACAAAAAACAACGUUAACGGAAGUGGUUACUCCAUCUUUUCGAACCGAUAACCGAGAAGGGGGGAAACGUCGCUUUCACUUAACAACUUUUGUCUUCCCACGAUUGUCACCCGAGUCGUACUCCAGCUGUCCCUCGACGCCUGAUAUCUUUGGGGACACUUUUCUCUCUUCUUUUGACAUUUCGGAGUGUGCCACGAUGAUGUGUCGCGAAAGCGUACUUGCAGUUGGAUAGUGUACACGCAAUGGUAGUAGUCGGAGUUGUUAUUGUUUUGCUCAACCACACGUGCUUGAUCAAUGCAAAAGCAACGUUGUCAUGGCGUGGUGUGUUGGUUUGUGCUUUUAUUGCAGCUGUACCGUCAACAAAACGUUACAUCGACCAGGAGUACAGGAGAGCACGUAGCCGACCUCGUCCACUACCUCCCAACCCGGUUGGCUAGUGUAGUACACACGUGAGCAUGUUUGCCUCGCUUCGUGUUUCCUCUGCUCGGUUCCAGUCUCAUACUGGCAUUAGAAAACCAAGAAAACCAGCACAAAAAUACUGUGUUUCCUUCUUGUAACCGCAACAGCCAAAUGCUCUCGCUUUCUCGCGUAUGUUUUGUUUUUUGAGGGUUCAUUUCAUCAUCAUCCAAAAGCGGCACAAACAGAGCAGGCCGAGUUUCGGCAACCGAUGCCCACACUAUGCGUAUUGAAUGUCAGUAAAGUCAUCAAUAAAAGGAGACGGAAAUCACAAAAUCGUAAA
This is a long non-coding RNA of Anopheles gambiae (African malaria mosquito), 2985 nucleotides long. RefSeq lists it as uncharacterized. The record is from RefSeq and is a predicted model, not a curated record. Lineage: Eukaryota; Metazoa; Arthropoda; Insecta; Diptera; Culicidae. The transcript is spliced from 2 exons.